UGUGACGCAACGGGCGACGCGGCCCGGCAUUUUUCUCUAAAUCGGCGGGUACUGAGAAAAUACGUCUCCCUUAGAGUCCCACGGAAAGGUUCUCAGUGCGCUCUCUAUCAAGGUAUGUAUUUACAAAUAAGUGAUCCCUUUAGAUAUUUGCCUGUGUACCUUUUCCUGUAAUUCAGAGCUUGCGUUCUGUGGGCUUUAUGAUAAACCUGUAAAACAUGUAAAAAUGGUUUUGCAAGUCUUAAAGCUUGAAGGCAGCAAUAAGUGGAUUUAGAGCCUGUUCUUGACCAGACAAAGAGAAAAAGUGUGACUUUGAUGCUGAACUUGUCAUUUUUCAUUUGACUUGUCUUGAAUGAUUUAGGAAUAGAGAGAACUAGAAAAA
This is a long non-coding RNA of Melospiza melodia melodia, 379 nucleotides long. RefSeq lists it as uncharacterized. The transcript is spliced from 2 exons. Lineage: Eukaryota; Metazoa; Chordata; Aves; Passeriformes; Passerellidae. The record is from RefSeq and is a predicted model, not a curated record.